This 468-nucleotide ribosomal RNA is filed under the name uncultured bacterium. Its description in RNAcentral is "partial 16S ribosomal RNA". It matches the Rfam family "Bacterial small subunit ribosomal RNA", at positions 28 to 507 of the family's 1533-position model. The record is from RNAcentral.
GACGAACGCUGGCGGCGUGCUUAACACAUGCAAGUCGAACGGAAAGGCCCUGCUUUUGUGGGGUGCUCGAGUGGCGAACGGGUGAGUAACACGUGAGUAACCUGCCCUUGACUUUGGGAUAACUUCAGGAAACUGGGGCUGAUACCGGAUAGGAGCUCCUGCUGCAUGGUGGGGGUUGGAAAGUUUCGGCGGUUGGGGAUGGACUCGCGGCUUAUCAGCUUGUUGGUGGGGUAGUGGCUUACCAAGGCUUUGACGGGUAGCCGGCCUGAGAGGGUGACCGGCCACAUUGGGACUGAGAUACGGCCCAGACUCCUACGGGAGGCAGCAGUGGGGAAUAUCGCACAAUGGGCGGAAGCCUGAUGCAGCAACGCCGCGUGCGGGAUGACGGCCUUCGGGUUGUAAACCGCUUUCGCCUGUGACGAAGCGUGAGUGACGGUAAUGGGUAAAGAAGCACCGGCUAACUACGUG